Molecule: long non-coding RNA, 367 nt
Organism: Ipomoea nil (Japanese morning glory)
Lineage: Eukaryota; Viridiplantae; Streptophyta; Magnoliopsida; Solanales; Convolvulaceae
Exons: 3
Source: RefSeq, a predicted model, not a curated record
AAGAAAUUACCCACCCUUCUGACUGAGGUUUAAUAUCUAGAAAGGAGGGUUGAUCGUUGUUGGUGUAAGAAGUUAGAUCGGCCAUCAUUCAACCAACCAUCACAUUUUGAACCAGCACUAAACUAUACUGACCAACUACAACAGAGAAUCCUUAGCUUGGGGUUGCGAAGGAUUGGGGUUGUAUUAAAGGCUAAAGUUGGAUUUCGAGGGUAAAAAUGUUGCGGCCAUUAAACUAUCUAGGGUUUGGGGAGGCAGAGUCACUGGUUUGUUCUAUUGUGAGUUGCUCUCUCGUGUGGUCAAGUGAAAGAUAAAGUGGCUCAUUGAAAGACGAAGCCACAAAUUGCAGUAUUAAGAAAGAAAUUACCCA